GGAGCAUAUUGAAUUUUUCUCCUGGCAGAAGAAUAUUUUUCACUUCUUGAAAAAAUGAAGACUUUUCAAUUUUACAACGACUUGAAAGAAUAUCUUUUACGGGAAGAAUUUAGCAACAAUUUAACGGUCAGAGAGCGAAGUGAAAUACGACGUGUGUCCGUGAAUUUUAUGAUUAAAGUCCAUCAUCCAUGCCCUGGCUGCUCUACAGGGUGUAUCAGGACAGGAGGCAGAAGACUUAUUUCUUGGUGGCCCAGAAUACAGUAUCAGUGAAGUGGAAGAAUUUAACUGAAAGAUAGGGCAGCAAUUAAAGAAGGAGGGAAUGCUGUGAUAUCUGUUGGAAUAGAAGAUGAUGCUACUGCCCAGUGCUUCCAGAAUCCUUCAUUUGAGUCUUGGGUCUGAAUCUACUGCGUCAUUGCCAAGUAUUCUGGGUGAUGCCCUUUGCCGUGCACCCUGGUCAAGUCUUGUGCAACUGACUGUGGUGCUGAAGAGAGAAGAUUUCUGAAGACCCUCUUGAAAUGGAGCUGCAAUUGGAUUAACACCACAACAGUAUGCUGGCUGAGAAUGUCCACAGGGGCCUGGGGAGGCUGUGACCUUGUGACCUGAGACGUUGUUUUGUCAAUCAUCCUGACCAA
Long non-coding RNA from Erpetoichthys calabaricus (reedfish), 632 nucleotides. RefSeq lists it as uncharacterized. The transcript is spliced from 4 exons. The record is from RefSeq and is a predicted model, not a curated record. Lineage: Eukaryota; Metazoa; Chordata; Cladistia; Polypteriformes; Polypteridae.